GGGGACGUAGUUUAACCAGGCAGAAUUGGGGCCUCCAGAGCCUUAGAUCUGGGUUCAAAUCGAUGGCGUUAAAUGCCAAAGUGAAUUUCCCAGCGUCCCCA
Molecule: transfer RNA, 101 nt
Filed under: Candidatus Woesearchaeota archaeon
Lineage: Archaea; Nanobdellati; Candidatus Woesearchaeota
Description: tRNA-Trp
Rfam family: tRNA
About the family: Transfer RNA (tRNA) molecules are approximately 80 nucleotides in length. Their secondary structure includes four short double-helical elements and three loops (D, anti-codon, and T loops).
Source: RNAcentral